Molecule: long non-coding RNA, 1530 nt
Organism: Girardinichthys multiradiatus
Lineage: Eukaryota; Metazoa; Chordata; Actinopteri; Cyprinodontiformes; Goodeidae
Exons: 3
Source: RefSeq, a predicted model, not a curated record
CAAGAAUCGAUUCAGUGACACAGAGGAUAAGUGAUAAAUGAGCUCAAACAUCUGACUAAGCAGCUAAAAAGUGAAAACGAGUUCCUUAAAAGAAAAGUCAUCCAGCUCAAAAAUCAUAGCAGAAGGAAUAAUAUUUGAGUGGUGGGACUAAAAGAAGGCUCUGAGGGAACGGACCCUGUGAAGUUCUUCACAAACUGGAUACUGGAGGUGCUGGGAGCCGAAGGCUCAGGUGAAGCAGCUCAGUGGCUGGAGCUGGAAAUUGAACGAGCACACAGGACUGUGUCUUUGGAGCCCAGACAAGGUGAACCUCCUCGUAUCUCCCCCAGACCUGUUUUGAUCCGUCUACUUCGUUCUCAAGAUUGGGAGAAAAUUUUGGCUUUGGCCAAAAAGAGAGGAACCAUCUGCUUCAAUAAUAUGAAAAUCAACCAGAAUUAGCCAAACGCUUCAAACAGCUUGUCCCCGUGCUGCAAGCGAUCAAAGCAAGAAACAUGCUGUGCUACCUCAUCUAUCCUGCACGCCUGAAGGUCCAUCUAGUCGCUGGAGGAACUCGCUUUUACAACUCUGCAGAGGAGGCAUUUCCUUUCCUUAACAGCCUGACACAGGAGAAGCAGCAGACAUCCACGGCCAAUAAUCACUGACUAUUAACACCGAGUCCGGAUAAACGAGGGUCUGUUCAGAAUGCUUGUGGGAUCAAUAUACCAGCAACUUUUGAUGGCGCAUACUGGAGAAGAAUUGACGAUUAAGGUGACAGACAGGAUUGUGGUUGCUAUUUGCUCAGGACUACGCCUCCAGAGACAGGUGAAUUGGAUUAUCGCUGCUUCCUGGACACCUGGCGUUACCUGAUCCAUCCCUAUAUUUCUCCAGUUUCUUCUAUUUUAUUUUAGUGAUGUACUACAGGGUCGUUCCGCUACCAUCCACCAGAGGGCUCCCUGUAGCUGGUUGCUGGGCUCCUCAUGCUGUCUCCUGCUGCACCUCUCCACAGGUGCAGCUCAUCAUGGGCAAUCAGCCUUCUCCUUCAGGCAGCAUAAAAGAGCUGGAAGCCAGUCACUCAGUACCUGAGUGUUAACAGUCACCGGUGCCAGUUCCAGUGCUCAUUUGUUUCCCUCUCUGUGGAGGAUCUCUGUGAAAUACCAAGACUUAGUUCAUUUCUGGAUCAGUUCCCCACGACUGGCUUCCACUCUGAGCCAGGAAUGAGCCAGCCUUACAGCAGAGAUCUGCACGACCUGUUUGCCCAGCACCACUUUGCUCUCAAAGCCUUCUGGAUUCAAACAGUGUGAGACAAACUAAUCAAGCCACACGUUAACUGGAAACCACUGUUGGCAACCCCAUCAAUGACUCACAUCUCCUCCCUGGUGGACAACACCAACUCCUCCCUCAAGCAUUGAUCAUCUCAUUCAUGUCACUCUUUGGAAACCUAUCACUUACCAACAUCUUUCUUCCAGAGUUCCUGGUUCCCCUUGUUGCUGUACCACCCAGAUCAGAUUCUCUACUGCACUAUUUCAUUGUAAUCAAUAAACAUCAUUUAACUGA